GACAGAGGGUGCAAACGUUGCUCGGAAUUACUGGGCGUAAAGCGCGUGUAGGCGGACCAGCAAGUCAGGCGUGAAAUCCCUAGGCUCAACCUAGGAACUGCACCUGAAACUGCUGGUCUGGAGUAGUGGAGAGGAAAGCAGAAUUCCUGGUGUAGAGGUGAAAUUCGUAGAUAUCAGGAGGAACACCGGUGGCGAAGGCGGCUUUCUGGACACUUACUGACGCUGAGACGCGAAAGCGUGGGGAGCAAAC
RNAcentral lists this ribosomal RNA (250 nucleotides) under uncultured bacterium. RNAcentral's name for it is "partial 16S ribosomal RNA". It matches the Rfam family "Bacterial small subunit ribosomal RNA", at positions 524 to 773 of the family's 1533-position model. The record is from RNAcentral.